UACGGAGGGUGCGAGCGUUGUCCGGAAUCACUGGGCGUAAAGGGCGCGUAGGCGGCUUUGUAAGUUAGAGGUGAAAGCCCAGGGCUCAACCCUGGAAUUGCCUUUAAGACUGCAUCGCUUGAACAUCGGAGAGGUAAGUGGAAUUCCGAGUGUAGAGGUGAAAUUCGUAGAUAUUCGGAAGAACACCAGUGGCGAAGGCGACUUACUGGACGAUUGUUGACGCUGAGGUGCGAAAGCGUGGGGAGCAAACAGG
Molecule: ribosomal RNA, 253 nt
Filed under: uncultured bacterium
Lineage: Bacteria
Description: partial 16S ribosomal RNA
Rfam family: Bacterial small subunit ribosomal RNA
Source: RNAcentral